Molecule: ribosomal RNA, 793 nt
Filed under: uncultured bacterium
Lineage: Bacteria
Description: bacterial SSU rRNA
Rfam family: Bacterial small subunit ribosomal RNA
Source: RNAcentral
AGAGUUUGAUCCUGGCUCAGAUUGAACGCUGGCGGAAUGCUUUACACAUGCAAGUCGAACGGCAGCACGGACUUCGGUCUGGUGGCGAGUGGCGAACGGGUGAGUAAUAUAUCGGAACGUAUCCAAUAAUGGGGGAUAACUAAGCGAAAGCUUGGCUAAUACCGCAUACGCCCUAAGGGGGAAAGCAGGGGAUCUUCGGACCUUGCGUUAAUGGAGCGGCUGAUAUCUGAUUAGCUAGUUGGUGAGGUAAAGGCUCACCAAGGCGACGAUCAGUAGCUGGUCUGAGAGGACGACCAGCCACACUGGAACUGAGACACGGUCCAGACUCCUACGGGAGGCAGCAGUGGGGAAUUUUGGACAAUGGGCGCAAGCCUGAUCCAGCCAUUCCGCGUGAGUGAAGAAGGCCUUCGGGUUGUAAAGCUCUUUCGCAAGGGAAGAAACGUUACGGGCGAAUAACCCGUGAUAAUGACGGUACCUUGAUAAGAAGCACCGGCUAACUACGUGCCAGCAGCCGCGGUAAUACGUAGGGUGCGAGCGUUAAUCGGAAUUACUGGGCGUAAAGCGUGCGCAGGCGGUUUUGUAAGUCAGAUGUGAAAUCCCCGAGCUCAACUUGGGAACUGCGUUUGAAACUACAAGACUAGAAUAUGUCAGAGGGGGGUAGAAUUCCACGUGUAGCAGUGAAAUGCGUAGAGAUGUGGAGGAAUACCAAUGGCGAAGGCAGCCCCCUGGGAUAAUAUUGACGCUCAUGCACGAAAGCGUGGGGAGCAAACAGGAUUAGAUACCCUGGUAGUCC